CCGCCGCCUUCGCGGGAACUCGGCGUUUGAACGGUGGGGCGUGGCUGCAGCUGGCGCGGCUCUUCCAGGUGGGGCUUUCCGCGUUAGGAAGCUUCGAUUGGCUGUUGCCGGGAGGGGCAAGGACAAGGCUGAGGCCGGGGCGACUCCAGUUUAUAGGGUCUUCGUCUUCAGUCCCGGAGCUGGGAGACAGUAUUAAGGACUGGCUGUGCAGGAGGACUCACCCGGGUUCUGCGCCUGCCUGCCCGGAGCUCUGCGUGCACGUUGAAGUCGUCCCUCCCCAUCCUCACACUUUUCUCGAGGUGACAUAAUUCCUGCCACUUUCGUCAUUGCCUACGUCUGACAGAACAGCUGGAGCAGGGCUAAGUGUUUGGAUUCCAGCCUGUUCAAAGAACUAUUUUUUGCUUUGGAAGACCACCCUACUGAUGGGCUUAGGAUCUGGGCACCCUUUGGCACAAUUCCCACAUGUGGAAUUUAAGAAAGCUUUACCGAUAUGUUUCGGCAGAGACUGAGAUGCAUGAAACAGAGACCUAGACCUGUCCAUGAAGAUUUUCAAAGAUUCAUCCGAAGAUUAGAAAAAAGAAAAAAAGAUGGCCCAUAAAUACCCACUACCAACAUAGUAAUGAAUUUCCUGAGAAGAUCAUUACCUGUUGGUUGGAUCCUCAGAGUUGUUUGAUCCGUCUGCUUUUUCGUGAUUAAAGUCCAGGUUUCAUCUGGA
Long non-coding RNA from Felis catus (domestic cat), 715 nucleotides. RefSeq lists it as uncharacterized. Lineage: Eukaryota; Metazoa; Chordata; Mammalia; Carnivora; Felidae. The record is from RefSeq and is a predicted model, not a curated record. The transcript has 5 exons.